GUGGGGAAUAUUGGACAAUGGGCGAAAGCCUGAUCCAGCCAUGCCGCGUGAGUGAUGAAGGCCUUAGGGUUGUAAAGCUCUUUCAGUAGGGAAGAUAAUGACGGUACCUACAGAAGAAGCCCCGGCUAACUUCGUGCCAGCAGCCGCGGUAAUACGAAGGGGGCUAGCGUUGUUCGGAUUUACUGGGCGUAAAGCGCACGUAGGCGGAUUGGUCAGUUAGGGGUGAAAUCCCAGAGCUCAACUCUGGAACUGCCCUUAAUACUGCCAAUCUAGAGUCCGGAAGAGGUGAGUGGAACUCCUAGUGUAGAGGUGGAAUUCGUAGAUAUUAGGAAGAACACCAGUGGCGAAGGCGGCUCACUGGUCCGGUACUGACGCUGAGGUGCGAAAGCGUGGGGAGCAAACAGGAUUAGAAACCCCUGUAGUCC
This 425-nucleotide ribosomal RNA is filed under the name uncultured bacterium. Its description in RNAcentral is "partial 16S ribosomal RNA". It matches the Rfam family "Bacterial small subunit ribosomal RNA", at positions 354 to 796 of the family's 1533-position model. The record is from RNAcentral.